UUUUUGUCAGGAAAACCGCAGUCAGUCAGGUCUAUACACUGAAGAAGAGCCCGUGGCAGCAGUGUAACCAAAAGACAGUCAGGGGUCGAGGUCCCAGGAAGCUUUUGAAGAUCUAAAGGGCCAGACACAGGUGAUGGACCCUGCGGAUUGUGCUACUACUGAAGAAAACUCCACGCUCUCCAGUGAACGAUGUGGAGGAGAGUAACUGGGCACCCAAAAUAAUCCUAUGAAGACUUUUGUAUGCAAAUAACAGAAAACUUGUUUGAUUUUUAAAUCUGAGUAUUUCUUACAAUUUAUUACAAAAAAAAUUGCCUUGUUUUUACACUUGCACAUAUAUUUUUGUGAAAAGGAUACCAUUAUUGACGCUAUCAGAAUGCUUAAAAUAUGCUUGUUUUUCAACUGGUGGGAUAUAUUCCAUAUACCUGUGCCUUGCCU
Molecule: long non-coding RNA, 435 nt
Organism: Heteronotia binoei (common prickly gecko)
Lineage: Eukaryota; Metazoa; Chordata; Lepidosauria; Squamata; Gekkonidae
Exons: 2
Source: RefSeq, a predicted model, not a curated record